RNAcentral lists this ribosomal RNA (252 nucleotides) under uncultured bacterium. RNAcentral describes it as "partial 16S ribosomal RNA". It matches the Rfam family "Bacterial small subunit ribosomal RNA", at positions 524 to 776 of the family's 1533-position model. The record is from RNAcentral.
UACGAAGGGGGCUAGCGUUGUUCGGAAUUACUGGGCGUAAAGCGCACGUAGGCGGGUUGUUAAGUCAGGGGUGAAAUCCUGGAGCUCAACUCCAGAACUGCCUUUGAUACUGGCAACCUAGAGACUGGAAGAGGUUAGUGGAAUUCCCAGUGUAGAGGUGAAAUUCGUAGAUAUUGGGAAGAACACCAGUGGCGAAGGCGGCUAACUGGUCCAGCACUGACGCUGAGGUGCGAAACGUGGGGAGCAAACAGG